UGGGGAAUAUUGGACAAUGGGCGAAAGCCUGAUCCAGCCAUGCCGCGUGCAGGAUGAAGGCCUUCGGGUUGUAAACUGCUUUUGUACGGAACGAAAAGGCUCUUUCUAAUAAAGAGGGCCCAUGACGGUACCGUAAGAAUAAGCACCGGCUAACUACGUGCCAGCAGCCGCGGUAAUACGUAGGGUGCGAGCGUUAAUCGGAAUUACUGGGCGUAAAGCGUGCGCAGGCGGUUCUAUAAGACAGAUGUGAAAUCCCCGGGCUCAACCUGGGAACUGCAUUUGUGACUGUAUAGCUAGAGUACGGCAGAGGGGGAUGGAAUUCCGCGUGUAGCAGUGAAAUGCGUAGAUAUGCGGAGGAACACCGAUGGCGAAGGCAAUCCCCUGGGCCUGUACUGACGCUCAUGCACGAAAGCGUGGGGAGCAAACAGGAUUAGAUACCCAAGUAGUCCCUGAGCGGGCUGGCAAGGCGCAU
Molecule: ribosomal RNA, 472 nt
Filed under: uncultured bacterium
Lineage: Bacteria
Description: bacterial SSU rRNA
Rfam family: Bacterial small subunit ribosomal RNA
Source: RNAcentral